This 808-nucleotide ribosomal RNA is filed under the name Streptomyces thermocarboxydus. RNAcentral describes it as "bacterial SSU rRNA". It matches the Rfam family "Bacterial small subunit ribosomal RNA", at positions 76 to 895 of the family's 1533-position model. The record is from RNAcentral. Lineage: Bacteria; Bacillati; Actinomycetota; Actinomycetes; Kitasatosporales; Streptomycetaceae.
CCCUUCGGGGUGGAUUAGUGGCGAACGGGUGAGUAACACGUGGGCAAUCUGCCCUGCACUCUGGGACAAGCCCUGGAAACGGGGUCUAAUACCGGAUACUGAUCGCCUUGGGCAUCCUUGGUGAUCGAAAGCUCCGGCGGUGCAGGAUGAGCCCGCGGCCUAUCAGCUUGUUGGUGAGGUAAUGGCUCACCAAGGCGACGACGGGUAGCCGGCCUGAGAGGGCGACCGGCCACACUGGGACUGAGACACGGCCCAGACUCCUACGGGAGGCAGCAGUGGGGAAUAUUGCACAAUGGGCGAAAGCCUGAUGCAGCGACGCCGCGUGAGGGAUGACGGCCUUCGGGUUGUAAACCUCUUUCAGCAGGGAAGAAGCGAAAGUGACGGUACCUGCAGAAGAAGCGCCGGCUAACUACGUGCCAGCAGCCGCGGUAAUACGUAGGGCGCGAGCGUUGUCCGGAAUUAUUGGGCGUAAAGAGCUCGUAGGCGGCUUGUCGCGUCGGUUGUGAAAGCCCGGGGCUUAACCCCGGGUCUGCAGUCGAUACGGGCAGGCUAGAGUUCGGUAGGGGAGAUCGGAAUUCCUGGUGUAGCGGUGAAAUGCGCAGAUAUCAGGAGGAACACCGGUGGCGAAGGCGGAUCUCUGGGCCGAUACUGACGCUGAGGAGCGAAAGCGUGGGGAGCGAACAGGAUUAGAUACCCUGGUAGUCCACGCCGUAAACGGUGGGCACUAGGUGUGGGCGACAUUCCACGUCGUCCGUGCCGCAGCUAACGCAUUAAGUGCCCCCGCCCUGGGGAGUACGGCCGCAAGGCU